GCCUAAGUCGGAUUAGCUAGUUGGUGGGGUAAAGGCCUACCAAGGCGACGAUCUGUAGCGGGUCUGAGAGGAUGAUCCGCCACACUGGGACUGAGACACGGCCCAGACUCCUACGGGAGGCAGCAGUGGGGAAUAUUGGACAAUGGGGGGAACCCUGAUCCAGCCAUGCCGCGUGUGUGAAGAAGGCCUUAUGGUUGUAAAGCACUUUAAGCGAGGAGGAGGCUACUUUAGUUAAUACCUAGAGAUAGUGGACGUUACUCGCAGAAUAAGCACCGGCUAACUCUGUGCCAGCAGCCGCGGUAAUACAGAGGGUGCGAGCGUUAAUCGGAUUUACUGGGCGUAAAGCGUGCGUAGGCGGCUUAUUAAGUCGGAUGUGAAAUCCCCGAGCUUAACUUGGGAAUUGCAUUCGAUACUGGUGAGCUAGAGUAUGGGAGAGGAUGGUAGAAUUCCAGGUGUAGCGGUGAAAUGCGUAGAGAUCUGGAGGAAUACCGAUGGCGAAGGCAGCCAUCUGGCCUAAUACUGACGCUGAGGUACGAAAGCAUGGGGAGCAAACAGGAUUAGAUACCCUGGUAGUCCAUGCCGUAAACGAUGUCUACUAGCCGUU
Molecule: ribosomal RNA, 604 nt
Filed under: Acinetobacter baumannii
Lineage: Bacteria; Pseudomonadati; Pseudomonadota; Gammaproteobacteria; Moraxellales; Moraxellaceae
Description: bacterial SSU rRNA
Rfam family: Bacterial small subunit ribosomal RNA
Source: RNAcentral